Long non-coding RNA from Amblyraja radiata (thorny skate), 125 nucleotides. RefSeq lists it as uncharacterized. The record is from RefSeq and is a predicted model, not a curated record. Lineage: Eukaryota; Metazoa; Chordata; Chondrichthyes; Rajiformes; Rajidae. The transcript is spliced from 3 exons.
CCCGUUUGAGGUCGACAUCUUUAGCUUGUUCUCUUAAUUCUUUAGCGAGAUAUUUUCGUAACUUAUUCCUCCAGUUUAGAAGUGACCUCAAUUCCUUGACUUCCCACAUCUGACAUCCAGAACAG